RNAcentral lists this ribosomal RNA (429 nucleotides) under Actinomycetes bacterium. RNAcentral's name for it is "Actinobacteria bacterium partial 16S ribosomal RNA". It matches the Rfam family "Bacterial small subunit ribosomal RNA", at positions 355 to 776 of the family's 1533-position model. The record is from RNAcentral. Lineage: Bacteria; Bacillati; Actinomycetota; Actinomycetes.
UAGGGAAUCUUCCGCAAUGGGCGAAAGCCUGACGGAGCAACGCCGCGUGAGUGAUGAAGGUCUUCGGAUCGUAAAACUCUGUUAUUAGGGAAGAACAAAUGUGUAAGUAACUAUGCACGUCUUGACGGUACCUAAUCAGAAAGCCACGGCUAACUACGUGCCAGCAGCCGCGGUAAUACGUAGGUGGCAAGCGUUAUCCGGAAUUAUUGGGCGUAAAGCGCGCGUAGGCGGUUUUUUAAGUCUGUUGUGAAAGCCCACGGCUCAACCGUGGAGGGUCAUUGGAAACUGGAAAACUUGAGUGCAGAAGAGGAAAGUGGAAUUCCAUGUGUAGCGGUGAAAUGCGCAGAGAUAUGGAGGAACACCAGUGGCGAAGGCGAAUUUCUGGUCUGUAACUGACGCUGAUGUGCGAAAGCGUGGGGAUCAAACAGG